Molecule: ribosomal RNA, 645 nt
Filed under: uncultured bacterium
Lineage: Bacteria
Description: bacterial SSU rRNA
Rfam family: Bacterial small subunit ribosomal RNA
Source: RNAcentral
GCAUGACUUGAUUAUGAAAGAUUUAUCGCUUAUGGAUGGACUCGCGUCAGAUUAGAUAGUUGGUGAGGUAACGGCUCACCAAGUCAACGAUCUGUAGCCGAACUGAGAGGUUGAUCGGCCGCAUUGGGACUGAGACACGGCCCAGACUCCUACGGGAGGCAGCAGUGGGGAAUAUUGCGCAAUGGGGGCAACCCUGACGCAGCAACGCCGCGUGCAGGAAGAAGGUCCUCGGAUUGUAAACUGUUGUCGCAAGGGAAGAAGACAGUGACGGUACCCUGUGAGAAAGUCACGGCUAACUACGUGCCAGCAGCCGCGGUAAUACGUAGGUGACAAGCGUUGUCCGGAUUUACUGGGUGUAAAGGGCGCGUAGGCGGACUGUCAAGUCAGUCGUGAAAUACCGGGGCUUAACCCCGGGGCUGCGAUUGAAACUGACAGCCUUGAGUAUCGGAGAGGAAAGCGGAAUUCCUAGUGUAGCGGUGAAAUGCGUAGAUAUUAGGAGGAACACCAGUGGCGAAGGCGGCUUUCUGGACGACAACUGACGCUGAGGCGCGAAAGUGUGGGGAGCAAACAGGAUUAGAUACCCUGGUAGUCCACACCGUAAACGAUGGAUACUAGGUGUAGGAGGUAUCGACCCCUUCUGUGCCG